Molecule: long non-coding RNA, 356 nt
Organism: Solea senegalensis (Senegalese sole)
Lineage: Eukaryota; Metazoa; Chordata; Actinopteri; Pleuronectiformes; Soleidae
Exons: 4
Source: RefSeq, a predicted model, not a curated record
GCAGUGAAUAUCACACAUCUGCAGUGUUUCCGAUCACUAAAACAGACUAACACUCAAGAAAGAUGCAGGCCAUUGGAGUAAAGCUUGUGGCUCUCACAGUCAUCAUGAUGUUGGUCUCCAGCUCUUUGGCUAAACCUACCCAUGUGAUUGAAAAGCGCUCCAGUGAAGAGAAAACGUCUUCCACCUCCACCUCCUCCUCCUCCACCAUCAGCUUUAAAGACCUUACUGAGAUUAUCAAGAUUCUGCAGCUUCUCCAGCAGCUACAGGCAUCUUGAGCACCAAGACACGAUGAUGCUGUCCAUGAAUGACAUGACUUGUCUUUAAAUAAAGCAAUAAGGAACAUGUAAACGUUUAAA